ACCAGUUGUAGCUCAGUGGUAGAGCACUUGCCUAGCAUGUGUGAGGCACUGGGUUCAAUUCUCAGCACUGAUA
RNAcentral lists this transfer RNA (73 nucleotides) under Marmota monax (woodchuck). RNAcentral's name for it is "tRNA.Ala". The stretch from base 7 to 67 matches the Rfam family "tRNA", at positions 6 to 65 of the family's 71-position model. Rfam says of the family: Transfer RNA (tRNA) molecules are approximately 80 nucleotides in length. The record is from RNAcentral. Lineage: Eukaryota; Metazoa; Chordata; Mammalia; Rodentia; Sciuridae.